GACGAACGCUGGCGGCGUGCUUAACACAUGCAAGUCGAACGAUGAUGCCAGCUUGCUGGUGGAUUAGUGGCGAACGGGUGAGUAACACGUGAGCAACCUGCCCCUGACUUCGGGAUAACCGCGGGAAACCGUGGCUAAUACCGGAUAUGACGCGCUAUCGCAUGGUGGUGUGUGGAAAGAUUUAUCGGUUGGGGAUGGGCUCGCGGCCUAUCAGUUUGUUGGUGGGGUGAUGGCCUACCAAGGCGACGACGGGUAGCCGGCCUGAGAGGGUGACCGGCCACACUGGGACUGAGACACGGCCCAGACUCCUACGGGAGGCAGCAGUGGGGAAUAUUGCACAAUGGGCGCAAGCCUGAUGCAGCGACGCCGCGUGAGGGAUGACGGCCUUCGGGUUGUAAACCUCUUUCAGUAGGGAAGAAGGCCUUCGGGUUGACGGUACCUGCAGAAGAAGCGCCGGCUAACUACGUG
This 468-nucleotide ribosomal RNA is filed under the name uncultured bacterium. Its description in RNAcentral is "partial 16S ribosomal RNA". It matches the Rfam family "Bacterial small subunit ribosomal RNA", at positions 28 to 507 of the family's 1533-position model. The record is from RNAcentral.